This is an RNA transcript of Sitodiplosis mosellana (orange wheat blossom midge), 2718 nucleotides long. It is a transcript of the gene named tropomyosin-1, with no coding region annotated. The transcript has 5 exons. The record is from RefSeq and is a predicted model, not a curated record. Lineage: Eukaryota; Metazoa; Arthropoda; Insecta; Diptera; Cecidomyiidae.
AAAAAAGUCGAAAUUUCCGAUGUGAAAUAUCUUUUUUUUUGCACCAACGACAACGACGACGACUACUGCGGCAGCGGUGGCGGUGGCGACCAUCUCGUCAUCAUAAGGACAUAAUAUAUUAGCAGCGUAUGCGCCGAUUAUUUUUAUGCAAAUUGUGAACGUGCGUGUGUACGUAGCGAAGGGGAAAUCUAUGCGAUGGAUGCGAGCGGUUCUUUUGAAAGUGACUCGAAAAGGUGGGGCCGAAUAGAUCAACGAUCGUCAGUGCUUUCGCGUUUUUACUGUCGUGUGGACUGUUUCGAGCGCUCAGAUAGUUCGAAUUUUGUAGCAAAUUCCCGUUUAAUUUUUUCCUUUGUUUGAGAGCAAAUAAGCAAAAACAAAAAAACUACAUCAACAUGGACGCCAUCAAGAAGAAGAUGCAAGCUAUGAAGCUUGAAAAAGACAAUGCCCAAGACAAGGCCGAUACCUGUGAAGGACAGGCUAAAGAUGCCAACAUGCGUGCCGACAAAGUUCUUGAGGAAGUACGCGAUUGCGAAAAGAAAUUGGCUCAAGUUGAAAUCGAUUUCGCCAACUCAAAGAACCAAUUGGAAUUGGCCAACCAAGAAUUAGAGGAAAAAGAAAAGACCCUCACCGCUACCGAAUCCGAAGUCGCCACUUUGAAUCGUAAGGUUCAACAAAUUGAAGAGGAUUUGGAAAAAUCCGAAGAACGCUCAGGCACCGCACAAGCUAAAUUGUUGGAAGCCACCCAAUCGGCUGAUGAAAACAACCGUAUGUGCAAAGUACUUGAAAACCGUUCUCAACAAGAUGAAGAGCGUAUGGAUCAAUUGACCAACCAAUUGAAAGAAGCUCGUCUCCUUGCUGAAGAUGCUGACGGUAAAUCCGAUGAAGUGUCACGCAAAUUGGCCUUCGUUGAAGAUGAAUUGGAAGUCGCUGAAGAUCGUGUCAAAUCUGGCGAAGCCAAAAUCAUGGAACUCGAAGAAGAAUUGAAGGUCGUCGGAAACUCGCUCAAAUCAUUGGAAGUGUCGGAAGAGAAGGCCAACCAACGAGUAGAAGAAUUCAAACGUGAAAUGAAAACUCUUACUGUGCGUCUCAAGGAAGCCGAAAACCGUGCUGAAAGCGCUGAGAAGCAAGUCAAGAGACUUCAAAAGGAAGUCGACAGACUGGAAGGUAUGUUCGCCCCGAAAAUUCUCCUUAAUUUAUCAAUUAUUCUAUUUAAUCAAAUUCAAAGUAAUUUUGUACAGAAAAGUGUUAAACCAAUUUUGAACAAGUUAUUUUUUUUUGGGGUUUUGAUAAAUAUUUUAACUUGAUCGCUAAGUUUUUAAAUCAAAUUUUGCCUUUUUGAUUCCUAUUAGCAGUGUUCAAAAUGCGUAAAACUUGAGCGAGGAAAAAAACAAGUUGCAAUUUUAAACGCUGCUGCUUGAUUUAUUAAACUUGUACAGACAAAUGAUAAUGAUGCUUUAAUCAAUUGCCUCGGCAUAUUUACAGAUCGUCUGUUCCACGAAAAAGAAAAAUACAAAGCAAUUUGCGACGAUUUGGAUUCAACAUUUGCUGAGCUUACUGGAUAUUAAUUUGUUCAGAGCUUGUUAUUUUUUUUUCUCUCUCUCUCUCUCCCUCUUUCUAUCAAAAUUUGGUCUAUCUUCUCCUGAUCUAUUCCUUUUUCGUUUUGAGUGACCACAAUGAAUCAUCCAUUCGGUGGCCCAAUUCAAUUAGAACGACUUUGUGGCCCAGUCCUUUGUAAAAUGUCCAUCAAUCCAAAUUUCCCUGUUGAACCCCACUGUCGUUCUUUCAGUUUUGCCCCAAUCCCACUUGUGCUUCUUUUGCCUCCCAAUCGAAAAUGGAUACAUUAGAUCUUUCAUCGUGAACAGACAUUUUUGUAUUAUGACCCUCUGUUUUUCUUGAAAAAAAAAAAUUAACAUCUUAAUCUUACUGCUAACCCACAAUGACACCAACUUUCAAACAAUCAAACGAUGUAUUAUAUAGUUGCAAUAAGUGAUGAAUUCAAAAAAAAAAAACAAUGUAUAAAGAGACACAACGUACAAGAUAUUGCUAGUCAACUGCUGCUAAAACCAAAACAAAAACAAAUAACAAACAAACGCUUGAGCCUUUUGAAAGAAUUGUAAAUUGUUUCGGAGCCUCUGCAGCUGCUCAUAAAUAACCACCAAAAUGCAAACAAGAAAACCAAAUUCGAUCUAGCAAAGACGAAUUGGGCAUCAACAAGGACCGAUACAAAAGUCUUGCCGACGAAAUGGACUCCACAUUCGCCGAAUUGGCCGGUUACUAAGCAAAUACACAACACCUUCACCGAUUUGCUGCCAUUUGAUUUUCAUUUACCAUCCAAUCGAAUGGCCCAACUCCUCUCGAUGACCCUGCCGUUUUCGAUGACUACAAGUUUCUUGACAUGAAUUCCUUCAUUCCAUUUUCCAUCCAGCGAAUGAACAAAACAUAAACAUCCAAAUAUAAAAACACGUCAUCGUUUUUACAUUCACAAACACACUCACUUUUAAACUUGUCACACAUUUUAAACAAAAAAAAAAAACAAUUAUAUACUUCAACGAACAUUUUUUUUUGUAUUUGCUUUGUAAUUUAUUGUAAAAUUUUUAACCGGAUUUUCAAUUAUAUACGCAUGUAUUUUCAAAAACAAACAUCAUGUGAAUACUAUGUUGUUAAUAAUGUGUUUGUGUGCUUUAUUCAAAUAAAAAAAAUGCCAAAAAAAAACAAAAA